GUGCCAGCCGCCGCGGUAAUACAGAGGUGGCAAGCGUUGUUCGGAAUUACUGGGCGUAAAGGGCGAGUAGGUGGCCAUCUAAGUCAGACGUGAAAUCCCCCGGCUUAACCUGGGAACUGCGUCUGAUACUGGACGGCUAGAGUAUGGGAGAGGGAUGUAGAAUUCCAGGUGUAGCGGUGAAAUGCGUAGAUAUCUGGAGGAAUACCGGUGGCGAAGGCGGCAUCCUGGACCAUUACUGACACUGAACCGCGAAAGCUAGGGGAGCAAACGGGAUUAGAAACCCCCGUAGUCC
This 292-nucleotide ribosomal RNA is filed under the name uncultured bacterium. RNAcentral's name for it is "partial 16S ribosomal RNA". It matches the Rfam family "Bacterial small subunit ribosomal RNA", at positions 505 to 796 of the family's 1533-position model. The record is from RNAcentral.